UUUAGUUUUGCUAAAAUUGGCGGGAAUCCUCGGAAACGUCUGUACACACUGGGCAACAAAGAUGGCGUCCGGGAAGGAGCGCGUACGCACAUGGCACGUUGGCAGGCACGGCAUCUGUGGCAUGGUUACAGCAGAUAUUCAAGAAAGUUAUUUUGUUUUACUGCUACGAGUGCUGAAUAGUGCGGUGAUCAUUAGUUCAUUGGGCCUGCCACUUCGUCGGAGCGUGAAGGAUGGAUAGCAAACGGUUAUCAACUCAAGGAAAGCUGCAGAGGAAAAACUGGACCAGGAGGAAACUACCGAACCAGAGGGCAACGCCUGAACAACAGGACGACGGCCAAGCAAGGGGAGGCCGAAUGAAUGAAUCUCUUAAUUACAAUAAAAAUGGCAAACAUCAUC
RNAcentral lists this long non-coding RNA (396 nucleotides) under Ixodes scapularis (black-legged tick). RNAcentral describes it as "uncharacterized LOC120840484". Lineage: Eukaryota; Metazoa; Arthropoda; Arachnida; Ixodida; Ixodidae. The record is from RNAcentral.